AGACCCGUAGGCGAGGCCCGUAUGAGAGUAGCAGUAUAGGUGAGACCUGAGAGCAGGGUUUCUCAGUAUUAUGGUUGGGUGAGACUCGUGGGCGAGGCCCGAGCGAGAGUGGUUAGACAAGUGGAACUAGAAGGAUAUAGGUGGGUGAGACCCAUGGGCGAGACCCAUGGGCGAGGCUCGUGAGUUUUAGCAGCACAUGUAGGACCUGGUAGGGACCUUAGUGUCAAGAUAGGGGAUCGAGGAUCCCAGGAUUGUAGUGUCUGAAUGGCAUAAUGGAUUGAGCAGUUAUAGGUGGUCGAAGUUUCUUCGAAAGUCACUGGGAGCAACUAGGAGUUGCGUUGGGGCUAGUGAUGGGUGGGAGCCGGUAAUCCAGAUAUUGAUAGAUUGGUAGGGACCAGGGUGGUCUCAGUUCAUCCGGAAGGCAGAUAAGGAAUAGCAAAAUUUCCAGCCAGUAGCAGUGCUGGUAAGCGGUCUAUGGUGGAAUUCAGUUAGUUGAUCGUGGGGUGCUCGGCACCCAAUUAUAGUAGAGAGGAAUGUCCAGUGGAUACUGGCGGUAAUGACCCGUACUAGAAGUAGCGGGGGUGAUGGAGUGGGUGAAGGGUAGAACCUUCACAGUAACAGAGGAAGUGGUUGGUUAUGGAAGGUUGCCUUGGAAAGGGCGGAAAUCACACAAGGAAAGAGGGGGUGAACCCCUAUGGGUUCAGUUGCAGUACUCGGAGAGUACCAGAAGGAUUGACGGUUGAGUAAGUUGCGGUAAUGACCCGUACUAGAAGUAGCGGGGGUGAUGGAGUGGGUGAAGGGUAGAACCUUCACAGUAACAGAGGAA
Molecule: long non-coding RNA, 826 nt
Filed under: Lactuca sativa (garden lettuce)
Lineage: Eukaryota; Viridiplantae; Streptophyta; Magnoliopsida; Asterales; Asteraceae
Description: long non-coding RNA (LSAT_LNC007911)
Source: RNAcentral